UAAGACGUAGGAGGCGAGCGUUAUCCGGAUUCACUGGGCGUAAAGCGCAUGUAGGCGGUUUGAUCCGUCCGAUGUUAAAGCCCCCGGCUCAACUGGGGGAGGUCAUUGGAGACUAUCAGACUUGAGGGCAGCAGAGGCACGUGGAACUCCCGGUGUAGCGGUGGAAUGCGUAGAGAUCGGGAAGAACACCCGUGGCGAAGGCGACGUGCUGGGAUGCCCCUGACGCUGAGAUGCGAAAGUGUGGGGAGCAAACGGGAUUAGAUACCCCGGUAGUCCACACUGUAAACGAUGAACCCUAGGUGUGGGGCGGUAAAACGCUCCGUGCCGAAGCCAACGCGUUAAGGGUUCCGCCUGGGGACUAUGAGCGCAAGCUUA
RNAcentral lists this ribosomal RNA (375 nucleotides) under uncultured bacterium. RNAcentral's name for it is "bacterial SSU rRNA". It matches the Rfam family "Bacterial small subunit ribosomal RNA", at positions 521 to 896 of the family's 1533-position model. The record is from RNAcentral.